AUGCUUACCUGGCCGGGGAGAUACCAUGAUCAUGAAGGUGGUUUUCCCAGGACGAGGCUGGUCCAUUGCACUCCAGAUGUGCUGACCCCUGCGACCUCCCCAACUGCAGAAACCUCCACUGCGUAAUUUGGGAUAGUGGGGGAGGAAAAAAAAAAAUGAUUGUCAGGUGUCAGAACACAGACCCUCC
Molecule: small nuclear RNA, 187 nt
Filed under: Panthera tigris altaica (Amur tiger)
Lineage: Eukaryota; Metazoa; Chordata; Mammalia; Carnivora; Felidae
Description: U1 spliceosomal RNA (ENSPTIG00000000573.1)
Rfam family: U1 spliceosomal RNA
About the family: U1 is a small nuclear RNA (snRNA) component of the spliceosome (involved in pre-mRNA splicing). Its 5' end forms complementary base pairs with the 5' splice junction, thus defining the 5' donor site of an intron.
Source: Rfam by way of RNAcentral